GAUGAAGAACGUAGCGAAAUGCGAUAAGUAAUGUGAAUUGCAGAAUUCAGUGAAUCAUCGAAUCUUUGAACGCACAUUGCGCCCGCUGGUAUUCCGGGGGGCAUGCCUGUUCGAGCGUCAUUUCACCACUCAAGCCUCGCUUGGUAUUGGGCAUCGCGGUCCGCCGCGCGCCUCAAAUCGACCGGCUGGGUCUUCUGUCCCCUAAGCGUUGUGGAAACUAUUCGCUAAAGGGUGUUCGGGAGGCUACGCCGUAAAACAACCCCAUUUCUAAGGUUGACCUCGGAUCAGGUAGGGAUACCCGCUGAACUUAAGCAUAUCAAUAAGCGGAGGA
Molecule: unclassified non-coding RNA, 331 nt
Filed under: soil metagenome
Description: partial contains 5.8S ribosomal RNA, internal transcribed spacer 2, and large subunit ribosomal RNA
Rfam family: 5.8S ribosomal RNA (bases 1-120)
Source: RNAcentral